Trachymyrmex septentrionalis is the source of this 338-nucleotide long non-coding RNA. RefSeq lists it as uncharacterized. The record is from RefSeq and is a predicted model, not a curated record. The transcript has 3 exons. NCBI's taxonomy places the organism in Eukaryota, Metazoa, Arthropoda, Insecta, Hymenoptera, Formicidae.
UUUACGUCUUGUAAUAUAACGUCGAAGUAGUACGCAUCUGGGUGUUCGUCCUGUCAUAUAACGUUGAAACAACUCGCAUUCUUGGUUUCGAAUCAACUUUGUCGACUAUGGACCUUUCUUUCACAAGUAUCCUGAUCCAAAUCCUGAUCAGAAGUUUAGAAAAUAAAACGACGAAAAACGGCUCGAAAGGAUCUUUCGAAUUACAAUAAGGACGUGACAGCUUGAGACAGAUCGUCCGCUCCGGAUCAGGUGGGCAUCGGUACUUAUUUAAUAGAAAUGGUAAUACACAAAAGAACAAAUAAAAUAAAAGUUGGAGCGAUGACAGGGAUGACGGCGCA